AUUGAACGCUGGCGGCAUGCUUUACACAUGCAAGUCGAACGGCAGCGCGGGCUUCGGCCUGGCGGCGAGUGGCGAACGGGUGAGUAAUGCAUCGGAACGUGCCCAGUAGUGGGGGAUAGCCCGGCGAAAGCCGGAUUAAUACCGCAUACGACCUGAGGGUGCAAGCGGGGGACCGAAAGGCCUCGCGCUAUUGGAGCGGCCGAUGUCGGAUUAGCUAGUUGGUGGGGUAAAGGCUUACCAAGGCGACCAUCCGUAGCUGGUCUGAGAAGACGACCAGCCACACUGGGACUGAGACACGGCCCAGACUCCUACGGGAGGCAGCAGUGGGGAAUUUUGGACAAUGGGGGCAACCCUGAUCCAGCCAUGCCGCGUGCGGGAAGAAGGCCUUCGGGUUGUAAACCGCUUUUGUUCGGGAAGAAAUCCUCUGGGCUAAUACCCCGGGGGGAUGACGGUACCGGAAGAAUAAGCACCGGCUAACUACGUG
RNAcentral lists this ribosomal RNA (484 nucleotides) under uncultured bacterium. RNAcentral's name for it is "partial 16S ribosomal RNA". It matches the Rfam family "Bacterial small subunit ribosomal RNA", at positions 28 to 507 of the family's 1533-position model. The record is from RNAcentral.